Molecule: transfer RNA, 73 nt
Filed under: Cordylochernes scorpioides
Lineage: Eukaryota; Metazoa; Arthropoda; Arachnida; Pseudoscorpiones; Chernetidae
Description: tRNA-Thr
Rfam family: tRNA
About the family: Transfer RNA (tRNA) molecules are approximately 80 nucleotides in length. Their secondary structure includes four short double-helical elements and three loops (D, anti-codon, and T loops). Further hydrogen bonds mediate the characteristic L-shaped molecular structure. tRNAs have two regions of fundamental functional importance: the anti-codon, which is responsible for specific mRNA codon recognition, and the 3' end, to which the tRNAs corresponding amino acid is attached (by aminoacyl-tRNA synthetases). tRNAs cope with the degeneracy of the genetic code in two manners: having more than one tRNA (with a specific anti-codon) for a particular amino acid; and 'wobble' base-pairing, i.e. permitting non-standard base-pairing at the 3rd anti-codon position.
Source: RNAcentral
UCCAGGGUAGCCUAGUGGUCAUGGCAUCUGCCCGGUAAGCGGAAGGUCGUGGGUUCGAUUCCCAUCCAUUGAG